ACACAUGCAAGUCGAACGGGUAACAGGGAGCUUGCUCCGCUGACGAGUGGCGAACGGGUGAGUAAUACAUCGGAACGUGCCCAGUAAUGGGGGAUAGCUCGGCGAAAGCCGGAUUAAUACCGCAUACGCCCUGAGGGGGAAAGUGGGGGACCGCAAGGCCUCACGUUAUUGGAGCGGCCGAUGGCUGAUUAGCUAGUUGGUAGGGUAAAGGCCUACCAAGGCGACGAUCAGUAGCUGGUCUGAGAGGACGAUCAGCCACACUGGGACUGAGACACGGCCCAGACUCCUACGGGAGGCAGCAGUGGGGAAUUUUGGACAAUGGGGGAAACCCUGAUCCAGCAAUGCCGCGUGUGCGAAGAAGGCCUUCGGGUUGUAAAGCACUUUUGUCAGGGAAGAAAUCCUUUGGGCUAAUACCCUAGGGGGAUGACGGUACCUGAAGAAUAAGCACCGGCUAACUACGUGCCAGCAGCCGCGGUAAUACGUAGGGUGCAAGCGUUAAUCGGAAUUACUGGGCGUAAAGCGUGCGCAGGCGGUUGUGUAAGACAGGUGUGAAAUCCCCGGGCUUAACCUGGGAAUUGCAUUUGUGACUGCACGACUAGAGUGUGUCAGAGGGGGGUGGAAUUCCACGUGUAGCAGUGAAAUGCGUAGAUAUGUGGAGGAACACCAAUGGCGAAGGCAGCCCCUGGGGAUAACACUGACGCUCAUGCACGAAA
RNAcentral lists this ribosomal RNA (713 nucleotides) under uncultured beta proteobacterium. Its description in RNAcentral is "bacterial SSU rRNA". It matches the Rfam family "Bacterial small subunit ribosomal RNA", at positions 51 to 758 of the family's 1533-position model. The record is from RNAcentral. Lineage: Bacteria; Pseudomonadati; Pseudomonadota; Betaproteobacteria.